Molecule: ribosomal RNA, 495 nt
Filed under: uncultured Glomus
Lineage: Eukaryota; Fungi; Glomeromycota; Glomeromycetes; Glomerales; Glomeraceae
Description: SSU rRNA
Rfam family: Eukaryotic small subunit ribosomal RNA
Source: RNAcentral
AGCAGCCGCGGUAAUUCCAGCUCCAAUAGCGUAUAUUAAAGUUGUUGCAGUUAAAAAGCUCGUAGUUGAAUUUCGGGAUUAAUAUGCUGGUCGUGCCAUUGGUACGUACUAGUAUUAUUGAUUUCUCCCUUCUGAUGAAUCAUGAUGUCAUUAAUUUGAUGUCAUGGGGAAUCAGGACUGUUACUUUGAAAAAAUUAGAGUGUUUAAAGCAGGCUCGCGCUUGAAUACAUUAGCAUGGAAUAAUGAAAUAGGACGUUUGAUUCUAUUUUGUUGGUUUCUAGGAUUGACGUAAUGAUUAAUAGGGAUAGUUGGGGGCAUUAGUAUUCAAUUGUCAGAGGUGAAAUUCUUGGAUUUAUUGAAGACUAACUACUGCGAAAGCAUUUGCCAAGGAUGUUUUCAUUAAUCAAGACGAAAGUUAGGGGAUCGAAGACGAUCAGAUACCGUCGUAGUCUUAACCAUAAACUAUGCCGACUAGGGAUCGGAUGAUGUUAAUUA